RNAcentral lists this transfer RNA (75 nucleotides) under Trichonephila clavipes. RNAcentral's name for it is "tRNA-Asn". It matches the Rfam family "tRNA". Rfam says of the family: Transfer RNA (tRNA) molecules are approximately 80 nucleotides in length. Their secondary structure includes four short double-helical elements and three loops (D, anti-codon, and T loops). Further hydrogen bonds mediate the characteristic L-shaped molecular structure. tRNAs have two regions of fundamental functional importance: the anti-codon, which is responsible for specific mRNA codon recognition, and the 3' end, to which the tRNAs corresponding amino acid is attached (by aminoacyl-tRNA synthetases). tRNAs cope with the degeneracy of the genetic code in two manners: having more than one tRNA (with a specific anti-codon) for a particular amino acid; and 'wobble' base-pairing, i.e. permitting non-standard base-pairing at the 3rd anti-codon position. Lineage: Eukaryota; Metazoa; Arthropoda; Arachnida; Araneae; Nephilidae. The record is from RNAcentral.
AGCCUCCGUGGCGCAAUCGUCUAGCGCGUUCGGCUGUUAACCGAAAGGUUGGUGGUUCGAGUCCACCCGGGGUGA